UACGUAGGGUGCGAGCGUUGUCCGGAAUUACUGGGCGUAAAGAGCUCGUAGGCGGUUUGUUGCGUCGGGAGUGAAAUCCUCCAGCUUAACUGGAGGCUUGCUUUCGAUACGGGCAGACUUGAGGUAUUCAGGGGAGAAUGGAAUUCCCGGUGUAGCGGUGAAAUGCGCAGAUAUCAGGAGGAACACCGGUGGCGAAGGCGGUUCUCUGGGAAUUACCUGACGCUGAGGAGCGAAAGUGUGGGGAGCGAACAGG
This 253-nucleotide ribosomal RNA is filed under the name uncultured bacterium. RNAcentral's name for it is "partial 16S ribosomal RNA". It matches the Rfam family "Bacterial small subunit ribosomal RNA", at positions 524 to 776 of the family's 1533-position model. The record is from RNAcentral.